RNAcentral lists this ribosomal RNA (497 nucleotides) under uncultured bacterium. Its description in RNAcentral is "partial 16S ribosomal RNA". It matches the Rfam family "Bacterial small subunit ribosomal RNA", at positions 28 to 507 of the family's 1533-position model. The record is from RNAcentral.
GAUGAACGCUGGCGGCGUGCCUAAUACAUGCAAGUCGAGCGAACGGACGAGAAGCUUGCUUCUCUGAUGUUAGCGGCGGACGGGUGAGUAACACGUGGAUAACCUACCUAUAAGACUGGGAUAACUUCGGGAAACCGUAGCUAAUACCGGAUAAUAUUUUGAACCGCAUGGUUCAAAAGUGAAAGACGGUCUUGCUGUCACUUAUAGAUGGAUCCGCGCUGCAUUAGCUAGUUGGUAAGGUAACGGCUUACCAAGGCAACGAUGCAUAGCCGACCUGAGAGGGGGUGCGGGCACCAGGGGAACGGAGCAAGGGCCCAGGCCCCAAGGGAGGGCGGAGGGGGGAAAGUUGCAGAAAGGGGGGAAAGCCGAAGGGGACAACGCGGGGGGGGGGAGGAGGGUUUCGGGUGCGAAAAACUUUUUUUUGGGGAAAAAAAAGAGGUGGAAGAAACGGGGAAAAUUUGAAGGGACCUAAAGAAGAAGCCCCGGCCAACUUCGUG